Molecule: long non-coding RNA, 168 nt
Organism: Perognathus longimembris pacificus (Pacific pocket mouse)
Lineage: Eukaryota; Metazoa; Chordata; Mammalia; Rodentia; Heteromyidae
Exons: 3
Source: RefSeq, a predicted model, not a curated record
GGAGCCGCAGGGCCCCACGCCGGUGGGGAGGCCGGUCCUCGCGGGCAGCCCCUGCGCCCGGCCGGGCCCACGGCAAGGAAGGACGCGAGGCGGCUAACGAGCUGAUGUUAGUGCCAUCUUUAGAAAAUUAAAGAUUGUCCCACCAAAAUAAUAUUACAAAAAAAAAAA